UCAGGAUUCAAACCAUGUGGCCCCUCGUUGUCAAAUAUUCAGAUCAUUAAUCAGAGAAUUUUUACAAUUUUACAAUUACAAGAAGGUCAAAAUCACUUGUAUUUUAUCAAAAUACAAUUUGUAAUAAUUUUUGUAUUUUAAUACACAAAAUUCGUCAUACAGGUUCACUAGUGAUUGCAAUUUAUCAAUUGAUAAUAAUCUGCAGUAUGUAGUAAACUUGCAUUAUGAAAAUUUGACGGUCUUUACGUAUACAGUCAUUCUCAUGCAGCAUUCUUUUGCACCCAAUUUGACCUUGGAAGACUGUAAAGGUUUCCAGAAUCACAAAACUAUGUUAUCCAAUUAGUAGAUUACUGUUAGCAGCCCAGAAACAUACUUGAUUUCAGCCAUAAACCCUAUCAUGUAAAGCAUGAACCACUCUGAUCCUUUCAGUGUCCUUCUGGUAUCAAACCAGAUAGAAAUCCACCAAAAAUAUAACUCAUUCUGUUCUGAUAGUCCAGUUUAAAAUCACCAAUCUUAAUGGUCAAAAAUCCAUGGGAUCCAGUGGAAAUCAUUCUAGAUGCUGUAUGAAAUGAUUGAUGAAGUUAAGCUAGUUCCUCAAAUUGGAAAGCAAAAAUCCAUUACAAAGAUCAGACCCCCAAGAAACCGGUUAGCCCAUUUUGUAAUGCAAAUUCAUCGGACAAAACAUAGCAACAAUUCCUUCCUUUAAACCAUGGUCAUAUCUAAAUUGAGGCUGAUUCACGUAACAUUUUCAUCAAUUUACCCCGAACUUAAUGUGCCCAGCUAUUUCAGUCAAAACCAAAAGAACUGAAGCAACAUAUAUACUACUAUUUAGCAAAACAAAAAUUAAAUUUUUUUAAAUCGAAAAGGCAGCAUUUCUUUUGAGAAAAUAUUAAUGGUAUACUAAAAACAAUCUUAAUCCUCGCACUCUCAAUUCAAUUUGAUUGAUAAAAAAAUGAAUAUUUUUCUUCCUUCUUUUUCCCUUCCUAAAUCAACAAGUACAACUUUCUCAGAUUAAGUUCUUUCAACCCUCGACUCACGGAUCACGAUUAAGAACAAUUACUAGAAUCAAGUCAAACCCUAAACACCAUCAGUCAAACCCUAAAUCUGAAAAACAAAUAGAAACAUGAAGUGCGAAAAUGAAACUACAGCCGAGAAGUGAAUUAGAAUCGAUAAAAAUAGGGCUCAAUCGUGUUACCUUUCUAUGUGGGUGAAUUCACUGAAUGGCGGAUGGACGGGAGGAUCUUAAGCUCUAGUUUUUGGGGGAAGGAGAGAAUUUUGGGUGAAUUUCUAUUGGGCCAACCUUUUUU
This 1307-nucleotide long non-coding RNA is filed under the name Olea europaea (common olive). RNAcentral's name for it is "long non-coding RNA (OEUR_LNC014813)". Lineage: Eukaryota; Viridiplantae; Streptophyta; Magnoliopsida; Lamiales; Oleaceae. The record is from RNAcentral.